CAGCAGCAGGUCGUCAACGCGGUGAGCAGGAGGCGGCAGCAGGGGGCGCCGUUGGUGGCUGACGGCGGGGCCCGCGCGCCGAGGAGGCCCCGGGUGGUUCGGUCGGUGGACGAGGACCUGUACAAGGUCCAUCCCGAUCUGCUCCCCAAGAAGGGCAAAGGGAGGAAGCAUGUGAGGAGCCUGUGGAUGGGCUGCGUGGGGCUCAACUGCGUCGCCUGACGUGAAGAGACAGUCGGCAGCGGGUAUCCGGUGCCCUGCCCCGCGGCAUGCACCAUCGUAUCCUCUUGUCUUGUCAUGUAGCCUUUUCGUCCUGCUUUUCCGCGUAUGGAAAGAAGAGAUGACGACCGGAGCACCACCACAUCCACAAGGCUUUCCACCGUCACCUUUCUGCUGCCGUGCUCUUGCUACCUGUUUCGUCGUGCACAGGGAUGCAGCAGGUCCGUGUUGCACCUUGUGGACAACGGAACAGCUAGUCUGUGUGAUGCACUCGGAUCCGGAUGCCAAUACUCGUACAUGUAAAUUGCAUGUUGUACCGUGCGGUUGAUGAUCAGUUGCUCUGAGUUGUCCACGGUGUCAUUUCUACGCGCAUGUAUGAUCAACUACUUAUUCCCAUUUA
Panicum hallii is the source of this 616-nucleotide long non-coding RNA. RefSeq lists it as uncharacterized. The transcript has 2 exons. NCBI's taxonomy places the organism in Eukaryota, Viridiplantae, Streptophyta, Magnoliopsida, Poales, Poaceae. The record is from RefSeq and is a predicted model, not a curated record.